GGUUUAAUUCGAUGCAACGCGAAAAACCUUACCACUUCUUGACAUGGAGGCUAGAUCCUUCUUAACAGAAGGGCGCAGUUCGGCUGGGCCUCGCACAGGUGCUGCAUGGCUGUCGUCAGCUCGUGUCGUGAGAUGUUGGGUUAAGUCCCGCAACGAGCGCAACCCUCAUCCUUAGUUACCAGCGGGUAAUGCCGGGCACUUUAAGGAAACUGCCAGUGAUAAACUGGAGGAAGGUGGGGAUGAUGUCAAGUCAGCACGGCCCUUAUGGGGUGGGCUACACACGUGCUACAAUGGCGACUACAAUAGGUUGCAACGUCGCAAGGCUGAGCUAAUCCGUAAAAGUCGUCUCAGUUCGGAUUGUCCUCUGUAACUCGAGGGCAUGAAGUCGGAAUCGCUAGUAAUCGUGGAUCAGCAUGCCACGGUGAAUACGA
Molecule: ribosomal RNA, 431 nt
Filed under: uncultured Anaplasma sp.
Lineage: Bacteria; Pseudomonadati; Pseudomonadota; Alphaproteobacteria; Rickettsiales; Anaplasmataceae
Description: bacterial SSU rRNA
Rfam family: Bacterial small subunit ribosomal RNA
Source: RNAcentral